Molecule: ribosomal RNA, 323 nt
Filed under: uncultured eukaryote
Lineage: Eukaryota
Description: partial 18S ribosomal RNA
Rfam family: Eukaryotic small subunit ribosomal RNA
Source: RNAcentral
CCCUUAGAUGUUCGGGGCCGCACGCGUGCUACACUGAACGGUUCAAUGGGUAAGGUAGUGCGAAAGCAUGACCUAAUCUCGAAAUCCGUUCGUGCUGGGGAUAGAAGCUUGCAAUUAUCCUUCUUGAACGAGGAAUACCUUGUAAGCGUGAGUCAUCAUCUCACGCUGAAUACGUCCCUGCCCUUUGUACACACCGCCCGUCGCUCCUACCGAUUGAGUGUUCCGGUGAGGCUUUGGGAGAAUGGCCUCAACAUGAGUUUAUCGUGUUUUGCCGUUUGAACUUAGUCAAACCUUAUCACUUAGAGGAAGGAGAAGUCGUAACA